Molecule: ribosomal RNA, 443 nt
Filed under: uncultured Caldilineaceae bacterium
Lineage: Bacteria; Bacillati; Chloroflexota; Caldilineae; Caldilineales; Caldilineaceae
Description: bacterial SSU rRNA
Rfam family: Bacterial small subunit ribosomal RNA
Source: RNAcentral
UGCCUACGGGGGGCUGCAGUGGGGAAUAUUGCACAAUGGACGCAAGUCUGAUGCAGCAACGCCGCGUGGAGGAUGAAGGUCUUUGGAUUGUAAACUCCUUUUCUCAGGGAAGAGAAUGGACGGUACCUGAGGAAUAAGUCACGGCUAACUACGUGCCAGCAGCCGCGGUAAUACGUAGGUGGCAAGCGUUAUCCGGAAUUACUGGGCGUAAAGCGCACGCAGGCGGUUUCUUAAGUUUGACGUGAAAGCUCUCGGCUUAACUGGGAGAGGUCGUUGAAUACUGAGAGACUUGAGGCAAUGAGAGGGGUGUAGAAUUCCCGGUGUAGUGGUGGAAUGCGUAGAUAUCGGGGGGAAUACCAGUGGCGAAAGCGGCACCCUAGCGUUGUACUGACGCUCAUGUGCGAAAGCGUGGGGAGCGAACGGGAUUAGAUACCCUGGUAGUC